GGGGUCGUAGCCUAGCCUGGUAGGGCGACGGGCUCCAAACCCGUAGGUCGCCGGUUCGAUUCCGGUCGGCCCCA
This 74-nucleotide transfer RNA is filed under the name Candidatus Nitrosopumilus sp. Its description in RNAcentral is "tRNA-Trp". It matches the Rfam family "tRNA". From Rfam's summary of the family: Transfer RNA (tRNA) molecules are approximately 80 nucleotides in length. RNAcentral also lists the same sequence under 4 other names. Lineage: Archaea; Thermoproteati; Nitrososphaerota; Nitrososphaeria; Nitrosopumilales; Nitrosopumilaceae. The record is from RNAcentral.